Molecule: ribosomal RNA, 266 nt
Filed under: uncultured Eubacteriales bacterium
Lineage: Bacteria; Bacillati; Bacillota; Clostridia; Eubacteriales
Description: uncultured Clostridiales bacterium partial 16S ribosomal RNA
Rfam family: Bacterial small subunit ribosomal RNA
Source: RNAcentral
UCCAAUUGAAGCAGAGGACAGUGGCGGACGGGUGAGUAACGCGUGAGGAACCUGCCUUUCAGAGGGGGAUAACAUUUGGAAACAGAUGCUAAUACCGCAUAAGAUUACAGUACCGCAUGGUAGCAGUACCAAAGGAGCAAUCCGCUGAAAGAUGGCCUCGCGUCUGAUUAGCUAGUUGGUGAGGUAACGGCCCACCAAGGCGACGAUCAGUAGCCGGACUGAGAGGUUGACCGGCCACAUUGGGACUGAGAUACGGCCCAGACUCC